UCCCUUGUAGCUCAGUUGGUAAAGAAUCUGCCUGCAGUGCAGAAGACCCAGGUUCAAUCCUUGGGUUGGGAA
This 72-nucleotide transfer RNA is filed under the name Capra hircus (goat). It matches the Rfam family "tRNA". Rfam says of the family: Transfer RNA (tRNA) molecules are approximately 80 nucleotides in length. Their secondary structure includes four short double-helical elements and three loops (D, anti-codon, and T loops). Lineage: Eukaryota; Metazoa; Chordata; Mammalia; Artiodactyla; Bovidae. RNAcentral also lists the same sequence under 1 other name. The record is from Rfam by way of RNAcentral.